AUUGAACGCUGGCGGCAUGCCUUACACAUGCAAGUCGAACGGUAACAGGUCUUCGGAUGCUGACGAGUGGCGAACGGGUGGGUAAUACAUCGGAACGUGCCUAGUAGUGGGGGAUAACUACUCGAAAGAGUGGCUAAUACCGCAUGAGAUCUACGGAUGAAAGCAGGGGAUCGCAAGACCUUGUGCUACUGGAGCGGCCGAUGGCAGAUUAGGUAGUUGGUGGGAUAAAAGCUUACCAAGCCGACGAUCUGUAGCUGGUCUGAGAGGACGAUCAGCCACACUGGGACUGAGACACGGCCCAGACUCCGACGGGAGGCAGCAGUGGGGAAUUUUGGACAAUGGGCGAAAGCCUGAUCCAGCAAUGCCGCGUGCAGGAUGAAGGCCUUCGGGUUGUAAACUGCUUUUGUACGGAACGAAAAGCCCCGGGUUAAUACCCUGGGGUCAUGACGGUACCGUAAGAAUAAGCACCGGCUAACUACGUGCCAGCCGCCGCGGUAA
Molecule: ribosomal RNA, 498 nt
Filed under: uncultured bacterium
Lineage: Bacteria
Description: partial 16S ribosomal RNA
Rfam family: Bacterial small subunit ribosomal RNA
Source: RNAcentral